UUGGAUUUUCAGCCAAUCAGAAAGCAGCACGACUGAAAUAGAACUCCCGUGAGGUCACACAUGUGAUGUCAUCACCAUUGUCAUCAGUGAGGGGCCUAAACUGUAGGAACCUAGGAAUACAACUUCAUACCCGCCUGUGACUGAUGCACACCUUCCAGGCUGUGGGGCAGCACAUACACGGACACAUUGGCCCAAAUUCUAGAGGUAACCUCCUUUAGUAUGCCCAGAGGAAGGGCAGUACAGUAGCCAUGGAUUCCCUACAGGUUUCCUCCCCUCUGGAGGUUUUUCCUGUCCUGAGUUAGUUACUGUCCGCUCUUUGUGAGUGAUGGAGGUUACAUAAAAUCCCUACACAAACAUUUUUGUAAAUAAUAAAUAAAGUUCCCUUUGUUUAAACUGUUCUUUGACUUGUUCGACUCAUUUAUUUUAUUUGUGUGUGUGAAAAACAGUGUUAGCAAAAUGUGGAUGACAGAAGUGUCCAAAACUGCUGCCCGAUCUGCCCCAUGUGAUGAGCCAAUCAGAAAGCAGCACGACUGAAAUAGAACUCCCGUGAGGUCACACAUGUGAUGUCAUCACCAUUGUCAUCAGUGAGGGGCCUAAACUGUAGGAACCUAGGAAUACAACUUCAUACCCGCCUGUGACUGAUGCACACCUUCCAGGCUGUGGGGCAGCACAUACACGGACACAUUGGCCCAAAUUCUAGAGGUAACCUCCUUUAGUAUGCCCAGAGGAAGGGCAGUACAGUAGCCAUGGAUUCCCUACAGGUUUCCUCCCCUCUGGAGGUUUUUCCUGUCCUGAGUUAGUUACUGUCCGCUCUUUGUGAGUGAUGGAGGUUACAUAAAAUCCCUACACAAACAUUUUUGUAAAUAAUAAAUAAAGUUCCCUUUGUUUAAACUGUU
This is a long non-coding RNA of Hyla sarda, 896 nucleotides long. RefSeq lists it as uncharacterized. The transcript has 4 exons. The record is from RefSeq and is a predicted model, not a curated record. Lineage: Eukaryota; Metazoa; Chordata; Amphibia; Anura; Hylidae.